CAGCAGUAGGGAAUCUUCCACAAUGGGCGCAAGCCUGAUGGAGCAACACCGCGUGAGUGAAGAAGGGUUUCGGCUCGUAAAGCUCUGUUGUUAAAGAAGAACACGUAUGAGAGUAACUGUUCAUACGUUGACGGUAUUUACCAGAAAGUCACGGCUAACUACGUGCCAGCAGCCGCGGUAAUACGUAGGUGGCAAGCGUUAUCCGGAUUUAUUGGGCGUAAAGAGAGUGCAGGCGGUUUUCUAAGUCUGAUGUGAAAGCCUUCGGCUUAACCGGAGAAGUGCAUCGGAAACUGGAUAACUUGAGUGCAGAAGAGGGUAGUGGAACUCCAUGUGUAGCGGUGGAAUGCGUAGAUAUAUGGAAGAACACCAGUGGCGAAGGCGGCUACCUGGUCUGCAACUGACGCUGAGACUCGAAAGCAUGGGUAGCGAACAGGAUUAGAUACCCUGGUAG
RNAcentral lists this ribosomal RNA (451 nucleotides) under uncultured bacterium. RNAcentral's name for it is "bacterial SSU rRNA". It matches the Rfam family "Bacterial small subunit ribosomal RNA", at positions 349 to 793 of the family's 1533-position model. The record is from RNAcentral.